Molecule: ribosomal RNA, 253 nt
Filed under: uncultured bacterium
Lineage: Bacteria
Description: partial 16S ribosomal RNA
Rfam family: Bacterial small subunit ribosomal RNA
Source: RNAcentral
UACGUAGGGUGCAAGCGUUAAUCGGAAUUACUGGGCGUAAAGCGUGCGCAGGCGGUUUUGUAAGUCUGACGUGAAAUCCCCGGGCUCAACCUGGGAAUUGCGUUGGAGACUGCAAGGCUAGAAUCUGGCAGAGGGGGGUAGAAUUCCACGUGUAGCAGUGAAAUGCGUAGAGAUGUGGAGGAACACCGAUGGCGAAGGCAGCCCCCUGGGAUAACACUGACGCUCAUGCACGAAAGCGUGGGGAGCGAACAGG